Ictidomys tridecemlineatus (thirteen-lined ground squirrel) is the source of this 1668-nucleotide non-coding RNA. The record is from RefSeq and is a predicted model, not a curated record. NCBI's taxonomy places the organism in Eukaryota, Metazoa, Chordata, Mammalia, Rodentia, Sciuridae.
AGCGGACCGGUCCCACAGCGGCGGCCAUGGUCAGGGCGCUGCGAUCGGAGCGGGCGGCGGGACGCAGUGCGCGGCGACGGCGAGGGGCGCGGUGGGCCGGAGCCGGGAGCGAGCUCUGAGCGCAGGUAGUAAAAAGAAGAAGUAAUGAACAGGACUUGACUUCCAAAUCUGAAAAAGAUCCUUGGUGGUAAAAAAAGAUUUACCUGGACAUCUAAUAACACAGGCAUCCAAUUGCAAAUAACUAACCACAUACAACUCUGCUUAGUGCAUUGCAAUGAUCCAGUUUCUGAAGAAUGCUUCCUAGCUGGAUGGACUGCCUCUCAAAAUAUUGCUUUCCCAAGCUCUGACUAUUAUCAACGAGAAUAUAUCUCAUGGGGUUCAUCUUGUGAGUCUUCUAGGAAAAGCAAAAGGGAAAGUCAACUUUAUGCUACAAAUGAGAGAUCCUGAAGGAGAGAGAGAAUUGCAGUCUGCUGUGGGUUUGAUGUGGGGAAGAUUAAAGGAGGAGAGUCAACUGAUGCUCCAGGCUCUUCAUUCCUGGGACAGCAAAGUCUGGCCUGGGGUGUGGCCGGGAGACCUGAUGGCAAUACUGGAGAAGGGGCAGCGCGGUGAGCAGGAGAGAAAUAGCGUAUCUGAGCUCCCAUUUCUUUUCUCUUUCCAUGUCUUCCUGUCAUGCUGUCAUUAGGGUUGUCACACCUACUAUGUCUUGGAGAGAAAGAAAUAUAAUAGAAACUGGAGAUGUUUAGGCAUCCUCACAGGCCAAAAGACAAUCUGUGGAAAGAAGGAGUUUGAAUGUGGUGAAAAGCAUCAGGGACUAUUUCAGUGAGGAAAGGGGACUGAUGUGACUGGAUGGGUAAGGUUUCCCCCAUUUCUCUAAUCAUCUGUUGCAGCUUGGAGGAUGGUAAUGUUUGGAAAUGAGAAUCCAAUCCCACUUGCCAAGAAACAGCUUUUGUAGAUCUUUGGUUUUUGUCUUUGUCUUUUGUGGUGCCCUCAUGCAUGCUAGAUAAAUGCUCUGCCAUUGAGCUACAUCCCUAACCCUUUUUAUUUUCUAUUUUGAGAAAGUGUCUCUAUAAAUUACUGGAGCUGGCCUUAAACUUGCUAUCCUCCUGCCUCAGCAGCCUAAGUAGCUGGGAUUACACACAUGAGCCACUACACUUGACUUUGGAGAUGUUUAAUGCUUCGUAAGUAUUACUUUAUAUAGAGUGUCCCCAAAAUAGACAUUUUAAAAUUAAUCUGAAGUACAGUAAUAAGGAUUAUACAAUAGGGUCUGUGUAGAAAGGUUAAAGCAAAUAUAGCUAGAGAAAAUCUGAUGGCUUUGGAGUUCUGUUUUAUAAGCAGGGAAACAUCUUACUAAAAAGGUACAUCUGAUGGUAUUGUUCUAGCCCAGGAAAAAAGAAAGGCAAUCCACAUACCCCUGGAAUCAGGAAUAUAGUUACUGAUGUAAAUGACUGGAUAACAUGACAAUUGGAGAGUACCAGGAGAUUCCCCUUAGUUCUAAAUAUAUUUGACUGAAAGCUUAAUAUUAGUCAUUCAUUUUGACUGAAGUCUAAGAAAAGAGGAACAGAGGAUAUAAUGAGGAGGCAUAAGAACUUAACUCUCUUCUUUAUAUUUCUGUCUAGAGGUGUGCAUUAACAUAAAAUAUGAUUAUUGGCAUAGAAUACCAUUUUUAAA